RNAcentral lists this ribosomal RNA (408 nucleotides) under uncultured Lactobacillus sp. RNAcentral describes it as "bacterial SSU rRNA". It matches the Rfam family "Bacterial small subunit ribosomal RNA", at positions 138 to 524 of the family's 1533-position model. The record is from RNAcentral. Lineage: Bacteria; Bacillati; Bacillota; Bacilli; Lactobacillales; Lactobacillaceae.
CGGGGAUAACACCUGGAAACAGAUGCUAAUACCCGGAUAACAACAGAUGAUGCCUAUCAACUGUUUAAAAGAUGGUUCUGCUAUCACUCUUGGGAUGGACCCCUGCGGUGCAUUAGCUAGUUGGUAGGGUAACGGCCUACCAAGGCGAUGAUGCAUAGCCGAGUUGAGAGACUGAUCGGCCACAUUGGGACUGAGACACGGCCCAAAACUCCUACGGGGAGGCAGCAGUAGGGAAAUCUUCCACAAUGGACGCAAGUCUGAUGGAGCAACGCCGCGUGAGUGAAGAAGGGUUUCGGCUCGUAAAGCUCUGUUGUUGGUGAAGAAGGACAGGGGUAGUAACUGACCUUUGUUUGACGGUAAUCAAUUAGAAAGUCACGGCUAACUACGUGCCCAGCAGCCGCGGGUAAU